RNAcentral lists this ribosomal RNA (862 nucleotides) under uncultured bacterium. RNAcentral describes it as "bacterial SSU rRNA". It matches the Rfam family "Bacterial small subunit ribosomal RNA", at positions 43 to 916 of the family's 1533-position model. The record is from RNAcentral.
CAGGCCUAACACAUGCAAGUCGAACGAGAACGGAUUAUAGCUUGCUAUAAUUGUCAGCUAAGUGGCGCACGGGUGAGUAAUAUAUAGUUAACCUGCCCUCAAGAAAGGAAUAACAGUUGGAAACGACUGCUAAUGCCCUAUAUGCCUUUAAUACAUAAGUAUGCAAGGGAAACGCUUUAGUGCUUGAGGAUGGGACUGUAUGGUAUCAGCUUGUUGGUGAGGUAAUGGCUCACCAAGGCUAUGACGCCUAACUGGUUUGAGAGGAUGAUCAGUCACACUGGAACUGAGACACGGUCCAGACUCCUACGGGAGGCAGCAGUGGGGAAUAUUGCACAAUGGACGAAAGUCUGAUGCAGCAACGCCGCGUGGAGGAUGACACAUUUCGGUGCGUAAACUCCUUUUAUAUGGGAAGUAAUGACGGUACCAUAUGAAUAAGCACCGGCUAACUCCGUGCCAGCAGCCGCGGUAAUACGGAGGGUGCAAGCGUUACUCGGAAUCACUGGGCGUAAAGAGCGUGUAGGCGGGUAUAUAAGUCAGAAGUGAAAUCCAAUAGCUUAACUAUUGAACUGCUUUUGAAACUGUGUACCUAGAAUGUGGGAGAGGUAGAUGGAAUUUCUGGUGUAGGGGUAAAAUCCGUAGAGAUCAGAAGGAAUACCGAUUGCGAAGGCGAUCUACUGGAACAUUAUUGACGCUGAGACGCGAAAGCGUGGGGAGCAAACAGGAUUAGAUACCCUGGUAGUCCACGCCCUAAACGAUGCACACUAGUUGUUGUGAGGCUAGACCUUGCAGUAAUGCAGUUAACACAUUAAGUGUGCCGCCUGGGGAGUACGGUCGCAAGAUUAAAACUCAAAGGAAUUGACGG